Molecule: ribosomal RNA, 253 nt
Filed under: uncultured bacterium
Lineage: Bacteria
Description: partial 16S ribosomal RNA
Rfam family: Bacterial small subunit ribosomal RNA
Source: RNAcentral
UACAGAGGUCUCAAGCGUUGUUCGGAUUCAUUGGGCGUAAAGGGUGCGUAGGUGGCGCGCUAAGUCAGGUGUGAAAUUUCGGAGCUUAACUCCGAAACUGCAUUUGAUACUGGCGUGCUUGAGGACUGGAGAGGAGACUGGAAUUCAUGGUGUAGCAGUGAAAUGCGUAGAGAUGUGGAGGAACACCGAUGGCGAAGGCAGCCUCCUGGGCCAGCACUGACGCUCAUGCACGAAAGCGUGGGGAGCAAACAGG